Bubalus bubalis (water buffalo) is the source of this 1160-nucleotide RNA transcript. It is a transcript of the gene named charged multivesicular body protein 4A, with no coding region annotated. The transcript has 7 exons. The record is from RefSeq and is a predicted model, not a curated record. Lineage: Eukaryota; Metazoa; Chordata; Mammalia; Artiodactyla; Bovidae.
UGGCGCCUGUUGAUGAUGUCGCCGCGGUGCCCUAAGGAGGGAUUGGCCGAGGCCGGUCUCGAAGUGAUGCGAAAGAAGGAGAAGGGGCCAACUCCUGAAGAGGCAAUACAGAAACUGAAGGAGACGGAGAAGAUAUUGAUCAAGAAACAGGAAUUUCUGGAGCAGAAGAUUGAACAGGAGCUACAAACUGCGAAGAAGCAUGGGACCAAGAACAAGAGAGCUGCCCUACAGGCUUUGCGGAGGAAGAAAAGGUUGGAACAGCAGCUGGCACAAACCGACGGGACAUUAUCCACCCUGGAAUUUCAGCGUGAGGCCAUUGAGAAUGCCACCACCAAUGCAGAAGUGCUUCGUACCAUGGAGCUUGCUGCCCAAGGCUUGAAGAAGGCCUACCAGGACAUGGACAUUGACAAGGUGGAUGAACUGAUGGCUGACAUCACAGAACAACAGGAGGUGGCCCAGCAGAUCUCAGAUGCCAUUUCUCGGCCUGUGGGCUUUGGAGAUGAUGUGGAUGAGGAUGAACUGUUGGAGGAGCUAGAGGAGCUGGAGCAGGAGGAAUUGGCCCGAGAGUUGUUACACGUGGGUGACGAGGAAGAGGAGGAGCCCCCGGUCGCACUGCCCAGUGUACCCUCUACACGUCUGCCUGCAGAGCCAGCUCCCAAAGCGGAUGAAGAUGAAGCGGAACUAAAGCAGCUGGCUGAGUGGGUGUCCUGAUGAGUCUGGGGUUGUCGGCCUGACGCUGCCUUUGUUGCUCUCUUUUCCUUAAGUGCCAAAUGCUGAGCUAAAGGAACAUGACCUUGCUGACAAACAGAGCAACCAGGGUACAGCAAGUUCUGCCCCACUACUUGAACAUUUGGAGUGCAUGGAGACACACAGCAGCGAGCAUGUCCUCAGCCAGAACAGUGAAGCGUCUCCGAAGCAGGUGUUCCUCCCAUCUCGCCCAGCCCACCUUCAGAACCACAGAAGAGCUACAUUGUAAAUUACAACCUAGACUUAACUGGUGUCAAGAUGACCGGUUACAGGCUCUGGGCAGAAAUCCACCUCUCACCCUCAGCACUGUUCCCUGCUAAGGGUCCCCUGAGGAAAGAAUGUGACUCCAGCUAAUGAAACUAAAACAGAAUUAGAUUUAUUUAUUUUUGGUAUAAAAGAUUUUUAUCCCCAGA